GAUGAACGCUGGCGGCGUGCCUAAUACAUGCAAGUCGAGCGAACGGACGAGAAGCUUGCUUCUCUGAUGUUAGCGGCGGACGGGUGAGUAACACGUGGAUAACCUACCUAUAAGACUGGGAUAACUUCGGGAAACCGGAGCUAAUACCGGAUAAUAUUUUGAACCGCAUGGUUCAAAAGUGAAAGACGGUCUUGCUGUCACUUAUAGAUGGAUCCGCGCUGCAUUAGCUAGUUGGUAAGGUAACGGCUUACCAAGGCAACGAUGCAUAGCCGACCUGAGAGGGUGAUCGGCCACACUGGAACUGAGACACGGUCCAGACUCCUACGGGAGGCAGCAGUAGGGAAUCUUCCGCAAUGGGCGAAAGCCUGACGGAGCAACGCCGCGUGAGUGAUGAAGGUCUUCGGAUCGUAAAACUCUGUUAUUAGGGAAGAACAUAUGUGUAAGUAACUGUGCACAUCUUGACGGUACCUAAUCAGAAAGCCACGGCUAACUACGUGCCAGCAGCCGCGGUAAUACGUAGGUGGCAAGCGUUAUCCGGAAUUAUUGGGCGUAAAGCGCGCGUAGGCGGUUUUUUAAGUCUGAUGUGAAAGCCCACGGCUCAACCGUGGAGGGUCAUUGGAAACUGGAAAACUUGAGUGCAGAAGAGGAAAGUGGAAUUCCAUGUGUAGCGGUGAAAUGCGCAGAGAUAUGGAGGAACACCAGUGGCGAAGGCGACUUUCUGGUCUGUAACUGACGCUGAUGUGCGAAAGCGUGGGGAUCAAACAGGAUUAGAUACCCUGGUAGUCCACGCCGUAAACGAUGAGUGCUAAGUGUUAGGGGGUUUCCGCCCCUUAGUGCUGCAGCUAACGCAUUAAGCACUCCGCCUGGGAAGUACGACCGCAAGGUUGAAACUCAAAGGAAUUGACGGGGACCCGCACAAGCGGUGGAGCAUGUGGUUUAAUUCGAAGCAACGCGAAGAACCUUACCAAAUCUUGACAUCCUUUGACAACUCUAGAGAUAGAGCUUUCCCCUUCGGGGGACAAAGUGACAGGUGGCGCAUGGUUGUCGUCAGCUCGUGUCGUGAGAUGUUGGGUUAAGUCCCGCAACGAGCGCAACCCUUAAGCUUAGUUGCCAUCAUUAAGUUGGGCACUCUAAGUUGACUGCCGGUGACAAACCGGAGGAAGGUGGGGAUGACGUCAAAUCAUCAUGCCCCUUAUGAUUUGGGCUACACACGUGCUACAAUGGACAAUACAAAGGGCAGCGAAACCGCGAGGUCAAGCAAAUCCCAUAAAGUUGUUCUCAGUUCGGAUUGUAGUCUGCAACUCGACUACAUGAAGCUGGAAUCGCUAGUAAUCGUAGAUCAGCAUGCUACGGUGAAUACGUUCCCGGGUCU
Molecule: ribosomal RNA, 1372 nt
Filed under: uncultured bacterium
Lineage: Bacteria
Description: bacterial SSU rRNA
Rfam family: Bacterial small subunit ribosomal RNA
Source: RNAcentral